AAGGGCAUCAACAUCCUCGAGGGUAAGCCCGAGCCACAGUACAGCUCCGAGGAAUAGAUGAUGCUCUGCACCAGGAUAUACUCGCGGGAGCUGUACGACCAGUACCGCAAGUCCGUUGAGUACAUCCGAGCAACGGUGAGUUGAUUUGCAGUAUACGUACUCCCUCCGUCCCAAAAAUCUUGUCUUAGAUUUGUCUAGAUAUGGAUGUAUCUAUUAGUGUUAGAUACAUCCGUAUGUAGACAAAUCUAAGACAAGAAUUUUGGGAAGGAGGAAGUACAUGACUGCUGUGUUCAGACUAGCCCCUGUUUUCUGUGUGUGCUGGUGCUGUUGGUUUCAGGUCCAUUGAACCAAGGAGAAUCUGAUUGUUUUUUCGUUUCGAACAUGCACAGAUGGGUUUGCCUUUGUGUACUUUUUUGGGGUUCCGGUGGAGCGUGAGGGGUCGGUUGUUUUACUGGCUGGGAAUGGUUACAUUCUCUUCUUAGUGUCUUACUAUGUACCACCACAUAAUCAGAUCCCGUUAAUUUUUUUUGUUUUUUAUUCACAAAAAAACAAUAUUAUUUUGUUCUUUGACAGUUUGAAAUGAACGGUCCUAUUAGAAUUCCAGUAUACUACUAUCUUUUAUGCAGUAUGUCUGUAGGUGUAGCCGGUCUAAUACCCUUUAAAUUAGUGCAUAGUGAUUUCGCUUUUUACCUGGCAAGGUGCUUUAGGUAAGUUUAUUUAUGCUCCACUUUCUAGGGCCAAAGAAUGCAGUCUCAUUUGUGGAUUUCUGCUUUUACUUUUUCGUUAGUAUAAUUCUGAUGCAGACUUAAUGAUCAUCCUCAAUUUCAGGCUGAAGGUCUUCAUUGUCGCAUAUUCAAAUUUAGAUUGGACAUGUAUAUACGUAGUUCCUGAUGGAAUAUUUCUUCUUUGUCUGACUUUUCAUUUGUGCUAGAUAAUUAACCAUUAGUUCGCAUCUCAAUAAUGGUGUUUUGUUUGUUCCUGAGACUUGCAGGUUAGUGAUUGUUGGCUUUGCUGAAUUGGUAGAUUUUUAGUUCAGGUAAACACUACUGAACUCCUGAACUGGUGACCUUUCUAUACAAGUUUUGUCUAUGUGGCAACAUUUUUUUGGCUCCUAAUAGUUAUUUUUUUCUAGAAGAUAGUUAAUGAAUUACUUGCAUUUUGACUAUAACUACACAUAUAUGGAUCGAACAUCCAAAUUUAUUCCUUUUACAUUUGAUUACUGCUAUGCUGAUAUGGAUGCACUAUUUUCAUGUAUAUAACAGUCAAGUGUUAUCAUUUUCUUCGUUUUAGAUUAUUUGUAUAAACACUACUGUAGUUAUUUUGUUCUAGAAGAUAGUGAAUGAAUUACUUGCAUUUUGACGAUAACUGCACAUUUAUGGAUCGAACAUCCAAAUUUAUUCCUUUUACAUUUGACUACUACUAUGCUGAUUUGGAUGCACUAUUUUCAUGUAUAUAACAGUCAAGUGUUAUCAUUGUAUAAACAUAACUGUUACCAUUCGAGGAAAACAAUGCUUUUGUAUGCACAUCCGGUUAAAGGAAGGUAAGGUAUGGUGGCGGUCCCAGUUCUAGAAGAAUGCAUAGUAUUACUACAAGAUUUUGGGAAGGUUACUAAGCAUUGUAAUAGAGAAUCGAAUGUUGUUGCUCAUGAGCUAGCUAGAUGGGGUGGUCCAAACACUCCCUCUCUAUGGGUGGAUGCACCCCGGAUUUUAUUGUAAAACUCUUAGCGGACGAUAUAAGUGUUAUUGAGUAAUAAACCUAGCAACAUUAUAAGAUAUGUUUCCGUCACAAAAGGGUAAUGUUUUGAAUCA
This is a long non-coding RNA of Triticum aestivum (bread wheat), 1808 nucleotides long. RefSeq lists it as uncharacterized. The transcript is spliced from 2 exons. The record is from RefSeq and is a predicted model, not a curated record. NCBI's taxonomy places the organism in Eukaryota, Viridiplantae, Streptophyta, Magnoliopsida, Poales, Poaceae.